This 117-nucleotide ribosomal RNA is filed under the name Lepisosteus oculatus (spotted gar). Lineage: Eukaryota; Metazoa; Chordata; Actinopteri; Semionotiformes; Lepisosteidae. The record is from RNAcentral.
GCCAGCAGCCAUAUCACCUUGCAACCCUAACUGGCAGCCCACUGAAGCUCAGCAGGCGUGAGCCUGGUCAGUACCUGGAUGGGAGACCUCCCGGGAAAGCGAAGGCUGCUGCUGGAA